GGGAUAGCCCGCCGAAAGGCGGGGUAAUACCGCGUACGAUCAACAUUUGGCAUCACGUGUUGAUGAAACACCCGUAAGGGUGGCUGAGAGAGGAGUCUGCGGCCUAUCAGCUAGUUGGUGAGGUAAUAGCUCACCAAGGCAACGACGGGUAGCCGACCUGAAAGGGUGUACGGCCACACUGACACUGAGACACGGGUCAGACUCCUACGGGAGGCAGCAGUGAGGAAUUUUGGACAAUGGGGGAAACCCUGAUCCAGCGACGCCGCGUGAAGGAUGAAGGUCUUCGGAUUGUAAACUUCUUUUGUCUGGGACUAAGAAAUCCGCUGAAAGGCGGGGAGUGAAUGUACCAGAUGAAUAAGCCACGGCUAACUUCGUGCCAGCAGCCGCGGUAAUACGAAGGUGGCAAGCGUUACUCGGAAUUACUAGGCGUAAAGGGCAGGUAGGUGGUUUGACAAGUCUGUUGUGAAAGCUCUUGGCUUAACUGAGAGAGGUCAACAGAAACUGUCAGGCUUGAGUAUGGGAGAGGGCACUGGAAUUCCCGGUGUAGCGGUGAAAUGCGCAGAGAUCGGGAGGAACACCAACGGCGAAAGCAAGUGCCUGGACCAUUACUGACACUCAGCUGCGAAAGCUAGGGGAGCAAACAGGAUUAGAUACCCUGGUAGUCCUAGCUGUAACGAUGCACAUUAGGCGUGGGGGGUAUCGACCCCCUCCGUGCCGACGCUAACGCAUUAAAUGUGCCGCCUGGGGAGUACGGCCGCAAGGUUGAAACUCAAAGGAAUUGACGGGGGCCCGCACAAGCGGUGGAGCACGUGGUUUAAUUCGACGCAACGCGAAGAACCUUACCUGGGCUUGAACUGCUGGAAGUAGAACGGAUGAAGUCUGAACGACCUGUAAAGUCAGGAGCCAGUAGAGGUGCUGCAUGGCUGUCGUCAGCUCGUGUCGUGAGAUGUUGGGUUAAGUCCCGCAACGAGCGCAACCCUUACCUCAUGUUGCUAUGCCCGUCAAGGGCAGCACUCUUGGGGAACUGCCUCGGAUAACGGGGAGGAAGGUGGGGAUGACGUCAAGUCACCAUGGCCCUUAUGUCCAGGGCUACACACGUGCUACAAUGGCCGGUACAGCGAGCAGCAAAUCCGCAAGGAGG
RNAcentral lists this ribosomal RNA (1141 nucleotides) under uncultured bacterium. RNAcentral describes it as "bacterial SSU rRNA". It matches the Rfam family "Bacterial small subunit ribosomal RNA", at positions 140 to 1265 of the family's 1533-position model. The record is from RNAcentral.